UGCGUAGGGACCAAGCGUUGUUCGGAUUUACUGGGCGUAAAGGGCGCGUAGGCGGCUUAACAAGUCACUUGUGAAAUCUCCGGGCUUAACUCGGAACGGCCAAGUGAAACUGUCAAGCUAGAGUGCAGAAGGGGCAAUCGGAAUUCUUGGUGUAGCGGUGAAAUGCGUAGAUAUCAAGAGGAACACCUGAGGUGAAGACGGGUUGCUGGGCUGACACUGACGCUGAGGCGCGAAAGCCAGGGGAGCAAACGGG
This 253-nucleotide ribosomal RNA is filed under the name uncultured bacterium. RNAcentral describes it as "partial 16S ribosomal RNA". It matches the Rfam family "Bacterial small subunit ribosomal RNA", at positions 524 to 776 of the family's 1533-position model. The record is from RNAcentral.